Molecule: ribosomal RNA, 515 nt
Filed under: Paenibacillus sp. T48
Lineage: Bacteria; Bacillati; Bacillota; Bacilli; Caryophanales; Paenibacillaceae
Description: bacterial SSU rRNA
Rfam family: Bacterial small subunit ribosomal RNA
Source: RNAcentral
UGCGAAAAGGCAGCUAAUACAUGCAAGUCGAGCGGAGUUGAUAGGAAGCUUGCUUCCUUGAUACUUAGCGGCGGACGGGUGAGUAACACGUAGGCAACCUGCCCUCAAGUUUGGGACAACUACCGGAAACGGUAGCUAAUACCGAAUAAUUGUUUUCUUCGCCUGAAGGAAACUGGAAAGACGGAGCAAUCUGUCACUUGGGGAUGGGCCUGCGGCGCAUUAGCUAGUUGGUGGGGUAACGGCUCACCAAGGCGACGAUGCGUAGCCGACCUGAGAGGGUGAUCGGCCACACUGGGACUGAGACACGGCCCAGACUCCUACGGGAGGCAGCAGUAGGGAAUCUUCCGCAAUGGGCGAAAGCCUGACGGAGCAAUGCCGCGUGAGUGAUGAAGGUUUUCGGAUCGUAAAGCUCUGUUGCCAGGGAAGAACGCUUGGGAGAGUAACUGCUCUCAAGGUGACGGUACCUGAGAAGAAAGCCCCGGCUAACUACGUGCCAGCAGCCGGGGGUAAUACCA